UAGAUCUGACCAUCUGGCUGGUGUUCUG
RNAcentral lists this small RNA (28 nucleotides) under Bombyx mori (domestic silkworm). RNAcentral describes it as "ovarian small RNA-22122". Lineage: Eukaryota; Metazoa; Arthropoda; Insecta; Lepidoptera; Bombycidae. The record is from RNAcentral.